AUAAAACAUCAAGAUAAAUAGAUUGCGGUAGAGAAAGUUAAAUUAUAA
This 48-nucleotide non-coding RNA is filed under the name Trypanosoma brucei brucei. Lineage: Eukaryota; Euglenozoa; Kinetoplastea; Trypanosomatida; Trypanosomatidae. The record is from RNAcentral.